This 570-nucleotide ribosomal RNA is filed under the name uncultured bacterium. RNAcentral describes it as "partial 16S ribosomal RNA". It matches the Rfam family "Bacterial small subunit ribosomal RNA", at positions 355 to 914 of the family's 1533-position model. The record is from RNAcentral.
UGGGGAAUAUUGCACAAUGGGCGCAAGCCUGAUGCAGCCAUGCCGCGUGUGUGAAGAAGGCCUUCGGGUUGUAAAGCACUUUCAGCGAGGAGGAAGGUGGUGAGCUUAAUACGCUCAUCAAUUGACGUUACUCGCAGAAGAAGCACCGGCUAACUCCGUGCCAGCAGCCGCGGUAAUACGGAGGGUGCAAGCGUUAAUCGGAAUUACUGGGCGUAAAGCGCACGCAGGCGGUUUGUUAAGUCAGAUGUGAAAUCCCCGGGCUCAACCUGGGAACUGCAUUUGAAACUGGCAAGCUAGAGUCUCGUAGAGGGGGGUAGAAUUCCAGGUGUAGCGGUGAAAUGCGUAGAGGUCUGGAGGAAUACCGGUGGCGAAGGCGGCCCCCUGGACGAAGACUGACGCUCAGGUGCGAAAGCGUGGGGGCAGCAAACAGGAUUAGAUACCCUGGUAGUCCAGCGCUGUAAACGAUGUCGAUUUGGAGGUUGUGCCCUUGAGGCGUGGCUUCCGGAGCUAACGCGUUAAAUCGACCGCCUGGGGAGUACGGCCGCAAGGUUAAAACUCAAAUGAAUUGAC